This 292-nucleotide ribosomal RNA is filed under the name uncultured bacterium. Its description in RNAcentral is "partial 16S ribosomal RNA". It matches the Rfam family "Archaeal small subunit ribosomal RNA", at positions 455 to 747 of the family's 1478-position model. The record is from RNAcentral.
GUGCAGCAGCCGCGGUAAUACCGGCCGCCCGAGUGAUGGCCGAUCUUAUUGGGCCUAAAGCGUCCGUAGCUGGCCGCGCAAGUCCAUCGGGAAAUCCACCUGCUCAACAGGUGGGCGCCCGGUGGAAACUGUGCGGCUUGGGACCGGAAGGCGCGACGGGUACGUCCGGGGUAGGAGUGAAAUCCCGUAAUCCUGGACGGACCGCCGAUGGCGAAAGCACUUCGAGAAAACGGAUCCGACAGUGAGGGACGAGAGCCAGGGUCUCCAACCGGAUUAGAAACCCUGGUAGUCC